CAAUGAAUAUUUUAAUAAAAAUUUAGGUUUUGGUAACUUAAAAUAUGUGUGUAUACAUUUCAUUGA
This 66-nucleotide transfer RNA is filed under the name Chudania hellerina. Its description in RNAcentral is "tRNA-Pro". Lineage: Eukaryota; Metazoa; Arthropoda; Insecta; Hemiptera; Cicadellidae. The record is from RNAcentral.